UACGUAGGGGGCAAGCGUUGUCCGGAUUCAUUGGGCGUAAAGAGCUCGUAGGCGGUUCGGCAAGUCGGGUGUGAAAACUCCAGGCUCAACCUGGAGACGCCACCCGAUACUGCUGUGACUCGAGUCCGGUAGGGGACCACGGAAUUCCUGGUGUAGCGGUGAAAUGCGCAGAUAUCAGGAGGAACACCGGUGGCGAAGGCGGUGGUCUGGGCCGGAACUGACGCUGAGGAGCGAAAGCGUGGGGAGCGAACAGG
RNAcentral lists this ribosomal RNA (254 nucleotides) under uncultured bacterium. RNAcentral describes it as "partial 16S ribosomal RNA". It matches the Rfam family "Bacterial small subunit ribosomal RNA", at positions 524 to 776 of the family's 1533-position model. The record is from RNAcentral.